This 552-nucleotide ribosomal RNA is filed under the name Fonsecaea multimorphosa. RNAcentral describes it as "eukaryotic LSU rRNA". The stretch from base 207 to 361 matches the Rfam family "5.8S ribosomal RNA". Lineage: Eukaryota; Fungi; Ascomycota; Eurotiomycetes; Chaetothyriales; Herpotrichiellaceae. The record is from RNAcentral.
AUCAUUAACGAGUUAGGGUCUCCUAGGCCCGACCUCCCAACCCUUUGUCUACUAGACCUCUGUUGCUUCGGCGGACCCGUCUGAAAAUGACCGCCGGAGGACCGCCUACCCGGCGUCCUCUGGCCAGUGUCCGCCGAUAGCCUACUAUCUUAACUCUGGAACAAUCGUGACAUUUGUCUAAGUGAAUUUAUUCAAUUAAAAGCAAAAACUUUCAACAACGGAUCUCUUGGUUCUGGCAUCGAUGAAGAACGCAGCGAAAUGCGAUAAGUAAUGCGAAUUGCAGAAUUCCAGUGAGUCAUCGAAUCUUUGAACGCACAUUGCGCCCUUUGGUAUUCCGAAGGGCAUGCCUGUUCGAGCGUCAUUAUCACCCCCUCAAGCCUCGUGCUUGGUGUUGGACGGCUCGGUGGACUCCUUCCACCCGUCCUAAAGACAAUGACGGCGGCCUCGCGGAACCCCCGGUACACUGAGCUUCUUAACUGAGCACGUAUCGGAUCAAGGGCGCCCGGGGCACGGUCCUCUCCCCCUCUGGGGGAAAUUUUCUCAAGGUUGACC